UUACGAGGUCAGGACACUGUGGGGAUUGACAGAUUGAAAGCUCUUUCUUGAUUCAGUGGGUGGUGGUGCAUGGCCGUUCUUAGUUGGUGGAGUGAUUUGUCUGGUUAAUUCCGUUAACGAACGAGACCUUAACCUGCUAAAUAGUCACGCGAACCGGUCCGCAAGGGCUCAAAGUUCGCGGCUCGACUUCUUAGAGGGACUAUUCGCACCCGCCAGCGAAUGGAAGUUUGAGGCAAUAACAGGUCUGUGAUGCCCUUAGAUGUUCUCGGCCGCACGCGCGUUACACUGACGGAGUCAACGAGCGUUUUUCCUUGCCCGAUAGGGCCGGGUAACCUCCUGAAACUCCGUCGUGAUGGGGAUAGAUCAUUGCAAUUAUUGAUCUUGAACGAGGAAUUCCUAGUAAGCGCGAGUCAUCAACUCGCGCUGAUUACGUCCCUGCCCUUUGUACACACCGCCCGUCGCUCCUACCGAUUGAACGGUCCGGCGAGAACUCCGGAUGGUC
RNAcentral lists this ribosomal RNA (502 nucleotides) under Vermamoeba vermiformis. RNAcentral's name for it is "SSU rRNA". It matches the Rfam family "Eukaryotic small subunit ribosomal RNA", at positions 1215 to 1719 of the family's 1831-position model. Lineage: Eukaryota; Tubulinea; Echinamoebida; Vermamoebidae. The record is from RNAcentral.